ACAGAGGUCUCAAGCGUUGUUCGGAUUCAUUGGGCGUAAAGGGUGCGUAGGUGGCGCCGUAAGUCGGGUGUGAAAUUUCGGAGCUUAACUCCGAAACUGCAUUCGAUACUGCGGUGCUUGAGGACUGGAGAGGAGACUGGAAUUCAUGGUGUAGCAGUGAAAUGCGUAGAGAUCAUGAGGAAGACCAGUGGCGAAGGCGGGUCUCUGGACAGUUCCUGACACUGAGGCACGAAGGCCAGGGGAGCAAACGGG
RNAcentral lists this ribosomal RNA (252 nucleotides) under uncultured bacterium. RNAcentral's name for it is "partial 16S ribosomal RNA". It matches the Rfam family "Bacterial small subunit ribosomal RNA", at positions 525 to 776 of the family's 1533-position model. The record is from RNAcentral.